UCUUUUUUUUUUUUUUGGUAAUGAAUAUUUUGGUCAAUUCUAAUCCUUAAAUUAUCUGGGGUGUAAAGAACGAAAAUGGGAGAUGGAAUUCUGUAAAUUUGCUUGUAACAUGUAAUAAUCGAUAGAUGUGGGGCUAAUGCACUUGUACCGCAGACCUUUGUUUUGUUCUCUUACAAAGUCCCAAUGGUCACUAAUGGGUCAAGAGCAUUAUUCUGCCAGUUUCAUUUUCCUUAAGUUAUCUAAAACUAUUAAGUUAUCUAAAACUAUUGCAGAGGUAAUGAGAGGCUGAUUUAACUAGUUCAUUGGUCAUGUCUGGCUUGCUUGAUAUUACAGCAUGGUAAUAGGAUUCUUUCUGGGUAAUUGUUCAUAUCUAUUCCUAUCUAUAUGAGAUUAGGUAACUCUUUUUGGCGGCCAUUUUCAAUCAAACAGCAGAAAUAGGUUUCCAUUCCCCCUUUUGUACAGUUUGACUCUUAGUGAUGCCUAGCUGAUAUUAUUAGAUUGCUUUUAGAAUUGAAUUUUUCAGACCUGUAACUUUUAUUUAAUACUUGCUUGCUUACUUAAUAUACUAUCCGUUUCCAUGUUUGAUGUUUAAGGCAUAGACAUUUAAAUGGUUACUCAGACAGAACAGCUGGUUUGCUGGCCUCUCUUUGGUUUUGUGCUUGAAAGGUAUUGUGGAGUUGAGCUGCAUUAGGUGUAAAUUUGCUUUAGAAUGAGGAAAAUGUCCACCAAUGCUGAUGUUAUGUUUUCAUUUGUUCAAACUAUCCUUUGAUAUAAUGCAAAUCCACAAGUGCUUCUUAAUACAUGACUAAAGUACAUUACCCUGACUCAGAAUCUUCUAAUAAGUCUAGGAAGUUCACGACUAUUUGAAGACUCUUUGUCCUGACUUGCAUAUUACUCGAGGUGAAUAUGAUGAAGAAAUGCGAUAUCCAGAAACCAAAACGCUUACUAUUGGUCAAUUCAAGUUGGGGCUUUGCCAUGGUCAUCAGGUUAUUCCAUGGGGGAACUUAGACUCACUAGCAAUGCUCCAGAGACAACUGGAUGUAGACAUACUUGUGACGGGUCAUACACAUCAGUUCACAGCUUACAAACAUGAAGGAGGAGUCGUUAUAAACCCAGGGUCUGCCACAGGUGCCUACAGCAGCAUUACCUAUGAUGUAAAUCCUAGCUUUGUGCUCAUGGACAUUGAUGGCUUGCGGGUCGUAGUGUAUGUGUACGAACUCAUUGAUGGAGAGGUUAAAGUUGACAAGAUUGAUUUUAAGAAGACGACUACCACUACUCACUCUGCUCAUUGAAGCUAAAGCUCAACAGUAUUUAGUUUGAAUUUCCUCAAAAUCUGAUCUCAGCGUGUAAUCUAUGUGUGAUCCGCUAUUGUGCAUGUUUUGAGUGCUGGAAUCUUUUGGUUUGUUUGUGAUUAUUACUGAUUAACCA
RNAcentral lists this unclassified non-coding RNA (1428 nucleotides) under Hevea brasiliensis (rubber tree). The record is from RNAcentral. Lineage: Eukaryota; Viridiplantae; Streptophyta; Magnoliopsida; Malpighiales; Euphorbiaceae.